AGUAUUUGAUUGCAAACACGCGAUUAAAUAGCAGAUGCACUGAGUAACCAAGACACGAAGAUUUAUUAUUAUUUACAAUUAGGACAUCACACUAUACACGCAUUAUUACCACCGCCGUUUUCCAUCAGCCAUUUCCGCUACUUGGAAGAGUAGCCUUUUGAUUUUCACAUUUGCUAGAAUUUUAUUUUAUUGUGGAACGACUUUAGUCAUUGAUUGCACCAGAAGAUCAUACAUUCAACUCUCAAAUCAUCUCUAGAUUGGGCCAACUCCACUAUCUAAUUAUAUAAUCACCACCAACUCCACUCAAUUGGCACCAACGUUCCACCACGAAAGAGAGAGUUUUAAAAAAACAAAAUGUUGCAAAGCAAGAUAAAAGAAAAGGAAAAGUGUGCACUACAAUCCUUUGCCCACCACCUUUUGCUUUCCUCCACUACAUUCUCCCCACCAUCUUCGAUUCUUGAAGGCUACUAGCCAACACUUCUUCAAGCAAACAAUUCAGCAGCAACCUUCCUCCAUUCACCUCCAUUCAUUCCUUCUCUCAUACACUAAGCACCAGAAAGGGAGAUGAAGAGAAGUUAAUUCCUGCUGCCAACUGCCAAGUAUCGAGAGUUCCUUCCCCAUUGAAUUCAUUAUCAACAACAGCAGCUACCAACACAAAAUACUCAAGGUCAAGCGCGAGAGUAAGAACUACACAAGGAGUUAGAGUACCUUAGCAAAACUUUGCUAUCAGGUUGAGCUGUGAUGGGCGAUGAAGUGUUGUUGCUGAGUGGAGUUUUUGUCGAACUUAAAGUAGGCUCAGAAAGGAUACAUGUCUUCAUACAUGUAUCUCAGUUAUGCAUUCCGCUGUAAACACUGAUUAUUUCAGUUACGCCUUCCGUUGCAAACUCUGAUAAUGUUUUAGCCAAGCCCCUAACGAUGCCUUUUUCCUUUUAAGGAAUAUAAUGCGUAUACAAGUUCUUUGAGUACCCUUUUUAUGCGAACUAUGCCUUUUUCCUUUUUAA
This is a long non-coding RNA of Salvia miltiorrhiza (redroot sage), 1001 nucleotides long. RefSeq lists it as uncharacterized. Lineage: Eukaryota; Viridiplantae; Streptophyta; Magnoliopsida; Lamiales; Lamiaceae. The record is from RefSeq and is a predicted model, not a curated record. The transcript has 4 exons.